GAUGAAGAACGUAGCGAAAUGCGAUACUUGGUGUGAAUUGCAGAAUCCCGCGAACCAUCGAGUCUUUGAACGCAAGUUGCGCCCGAAGCCAUUAGGCCGAGGGCACGCCUGCCUGGGCGUCACACGUCGUUGCCCCCCCAUCUACUCCUUCGGGAUUGCGGGGGGCGGAUGAUGGCCUCCCGUGCGCCUCGCCGCGCGGUUGGCAUAAAUGCCAAGUCCUCGGCGACGCACGCCACGACAAUCGGUGGUUGCGAAACCUCGGUUGCCCGUCGUGUGCGGUCGUCGCGCAUCGAGGGCUCGAAAAAAUUGCCGGGUUCCGGCUCGGCUUUCAACGCGACCCCAGGUCAGGCGGGGUUACCCGCUGAAUUUAAGCAUAUCAAUAAGCGGAGGA
RNAcentral lists this unclassified non-coding RNA (391 nucleotides) under soil metagenome. Its description in RNAcentral is "partial contains 5.8S ribosomal RNA, internal transcribed spacer 2, and large subunit ribosomal RNA". The stretch from base 1 to 122 matches the Rfam family "5.8S ribosomal RNA", at positions 35 to 154 of the family's 154-position model. The record is from RNAcentral.